GUUCUAAACUUUUCGCAGUGCUUAUUUCAUUGCUCAAGCUAGUCAUGAUUACAAGACCAUACCAGGUACUUCAUUUCUCCACUCAACCAGAAUAAGUAGAACACCAUUCACCAUCACUUCUUUGUAAGCAUAGCGUCUAGUUACUAUCAUUUAAAACACCACUUCGUUUGUCAGUUAUUUUGCGUAAUACACGUUAUAUCGCUCAUAGCAUGACUUUUGGCUACUAUACUAACCAUAUACCAUUUCUACAUCUUUAGUAUAACGUUCUGAACUUUUUCACAGUGCGUAUUUCAUUGCUCAAGAGAGUCAUGAUUACAACACCAUACCAGGUACUCCAUUUCUCCACUUAACCAGAACAAGUAAAACACCCAUCACCAUCUCUUCUUUGAAAGCAUAACUUCCAGUCACUAUUAUUUCAAAGUUCACCUUCCCAUCAUAUAAGAAACCAUACUUUCAACAUUUUUUUAACUUCAGCAUUUCAUUUCGUCUGUUUUUUUCCGUAACGCGUUUGAUCGCUCAAACUAGUCACGAUUACAACACCAAAUACUCCAUUCCUCCACUCAAUCGAAAUAAGUAGAACACACAUUCCUCCGAUUUUUCUUUAGCCUAACUUCAAGCUACUAGUGAAAACAUAUACGACCUCAGAGAUCACCAACUACGAAACCACACCUUCUGCAUCUUUAUACUUUGGUAUAACGUUCUCAACUUUUUCGCAGUGCGUAUUUCAUUGCUCAAAAGAGUUAUGAUUACAAGACCAUACCAGGUACUUCAUUUCUCCACUCAUCCAGAAUAAGUUGAACAUCUAUAAUAUGACUUCUUUCUAAGCAUAACUUCCAGUUACUCAUUUCAAACUUCAAAGACUGUACACUCCACAUGUUUUAACUGCAACAUAACGUUUCUCCAUUCUUUUCUGUAAUGCAUGUUAUAUCGCUCAAGCUAGUCAUGAUUACAAUACCAAGUACUCCACUCCUCCACUCAAUCGAUAUAAGUAGAAAACAAACUCGUGCUAUUUUUCUUUAGCAUGACUUCUUGCUACUACUCAAAAUAUAUACCACUUCUGCAUUUUUAAACUUGGGUAUAACGUCCUGAAAUUUUUCGCAGUGCCUAUUUCAUUGCUCAAGCUAGUCAUGAUUACAAAACAUACCAGGUACUUCAUUUCUCCACUCAACCAGAACAAGUAAAACACCCAUCUCCAUCUCUUCUUUACAAGCAUACUUUCCAGUCACUAUUAUUUCAAAGUUCACGUUCCCAUCAUAUAAGAAACCAAACUUUCAACAUUUUUAUAACUUCAGCAUUUCGUUUCGUCCGUUCUUUUCCGUAACGCAUGUUUGAUCGCUCAAGCUACUCACUAUUACAACCAAAUACUCCAUUCCUCCACUAAAUUGAAAUAAGUAGAACACACAUUCCUCCGAUUUUUCUUUAGCCUAACUUCAAGCUACUAGUGAAAACAUUAACCACUUCAGAGUUCAACUCCGAAACCACACCUUCCACAUCUUUAUACUUCGGUAUAACGUUCUGAAAUUUUUCGCAGUGCUUAUUUCAUUGCUCAAGCUAGUCAUGAUUACAAGACCAUACCAGGUACUUCAUUUCUCCACUCAACCAGAAUAAGUACGACACCCAUCACCAUCUCAUCUUUGCAAGCAUAACUUCCAGUCACUAUUAUUUCAAAGUUCACCUUCCCAUGAAAAUAAGAAAUCAUGCUUUCGACCUCAGCAUUUCGUUUGUCAGUUCUUUUGGGUUGUGCAUGUUUUAUCGCUGAAGCUAGUCAUGAUUACGAUAUCAAGUACUUCAUUCUUUUACUAAUUUGAAACAAGAUGAAAAAUGCACAUCUGCAAUUUUUCGUUUACCAUGACUUUUGGCUACUAGUCAAAACAAAUACCACUUUAAAGUUCACCUAAUCAAAUAUGAAACCACACCUUCCACAUUUUUAUACUUUAGUAUAACGUUCUAAACUUUUUCGCAGUGCAUAUUUCAUUGCUCAAGAGAGUCAUGAUUACAAGACCAUACCAGGUACUUCAUUUCUCCGCUCAACCAGAAUAAGUACGACACCCAUCACCAUCUCAUCUUUGCAAGCAUAACUUCCAGUCACUAUUAUUUCAAAGUUCACCUUCCCAUGAAAAUAAGAAAUCAUACUUUUAACAUCUUUUUAACUUCAGCAUUCCAUUUAUCAGUUUUUUUCCCUAACGCAUGUUUGAUCCCUGGAGCUAAUCAUGAUUUUGAUAUCAAGUACUUCAUUGUUUUACUAAUUUGAAACAAGAUGAAAAAUGCACAUCUGCAAUUUUUCGUUUAGCAUGACUUUUGGCUACUAGUCAAAACAAAUACCACUUUAAAGUUCACCUAAUC
Long non-coding RNA from Dermacentor silvarum, 2343 nucleotides. RefSeq lists it as uncharacterized. The record is from RefSeq and is a predicted model, not a curated record. NCBI's taxonomy places the organism in Eukaryota, Metazoa, Arthropoda, Arachnida, Ixodida, Ixodidae. The transcript has 4 exons.